GGUGCUGUGGCUCAAUGGUAGAGUGCUUGCCUUGAACUGAAGAGGGCAAGGACAGCACCC
This 60-nucleotide transfer RNA is filed under the name Dipodomys ordii (Ord's kangaroo rat). It matches the Rfam family "tRNA". Rfam says of the family: Transfer RNA (tRNA) molecules are approximately 80 nucleotides in length. Their secondary structure includes four short double-helical elements and three loops (D, anti-codon, and T loops). Further hydrogen bonds mediate the characteristic L-shaped molecular structure. tRNAs have two regions of fundamental functional importance: the anti-codon, which is responsible for specific mRNA codon recognition, and the 3' end, to which the tRNAs corresponding amino acid is attached (by aminoacyl-tRNA synthetases). tRNAs cope with the degeneracy of the genetic code in two manners: having more than one tRNA (with a specific anti-codon) for a particular amino acid; and 'wobble' base-pairing, i.e. permitting non-standard base-pairing at the 3rd anti-codon position. The record is from Rfam by way of RNAcentral. Lineage: Eukaryota; Metazoa; Chordata; Mammalia; Rodentia; Heteromyidae.